RNAcentral lists this ribosomal RNA (379 nucleotides) under uncultured eukaryote. RNAcentral's name for it is "partial 18S ribosomal RNA". It matches the Rfam family "Eukaryotic small subunit ribosomal RNA", at positions 592 to 976 of the family's 1831-position model. The record is from RNAcentral.
CAAUAGCGUAUAUUUAAGUUGUUGCAGUUAAAAAGCUCGUAGUUGGAUUUCGGAUGGGAUUUGCCGGUCCGUCGUUACGAUGUGCACUGGCCAGUCCUAUCUUGUUGUCGGGGACUAGCUCCUUGGAUUAACUUCCUGGGACUAGGAGCUGACGAGGUUACUUUGAGUAAAUUAGAGUGUUCAAAGCAAGCCUUCGCUCUGAAUACAUUAGCAUGGAAUAACACGAUAGGACUCUGGCUUAUCUUGUUGGUCUGUGAGACCAGAGUAAUGAUUAAGAGGGACAGUCGGGGACAUUCGUAUUUCACUGUCAGAGGUGAAAUUCUCGGAUUUAUGAAAGACGAACUUCUGCGAAAGCAUUUGUCAAGGAUGUUUUCAUUAA